CCCAAUACUGCAGGGCGAA
This 19-nucleotide unclassified non-coding RNA is filed under the name Mus musculus (house mouse). RNAcentral describes it as "oocyte_clustered_small_RNA14318". The record is from RNAcentral. Lineage: Eukaryota; Metazoa; Chordata; Mammalia; Rodentia; Muridae.